CGUGACCCUUCCCAUGAAACCACCACAGAUGUGUCUGUAUUGCGGGUAGGCACCACACGGCCAGGGGCUGAUGGGAUAUCUGGUGGCAGCUUGUCUCCAACUGUGGUGGCUUCUGUCGGAUCUGAUGGUUCUCCAACGCCAGCUGAGUUGCAGCAACGAACGCGGAAACAGGUCCAUAGCGGCUACUGGUUCAGAGACACGGGAUGGAUGGCUCAUUCCAGCCUUAUUGACAGCACGCACGCGGAACACAUAGCUUCGUCCUUCCACAAGACCAGUAACAGGGAAACGUGCAAACUUAACAGGAGUGUCGUUACAUUGUGCCCAGUGUGUAGUGCCAACCUCACACCUACACAGGAGAAAGAUGCAGUGACCUAUCAACAAAGUAGCCCAAAAUGCUGCUUCCGCCGUCCACAGCAGGCUGUUUCCAGGAGAGGGCUCCGAGCUCGAAAUCUGGCCCGAGCCCAGAGUACUCCCUUUACUAGGAUAGAAACCAGCUGAGAGUGAGGCGAUGGGGUGGUGGAGGGAUGCUGUGAAACUGUCAUGGGACAGAGACUUACCAUCUCUGUACCACUCGAUCUCAGGCUGGAAGCGUUGCAAUGAAGGGUAGAUGAUAACAGAGCAGCCCAAACUCAACGUCUCACCCUCACGUCCAAAAGACACACCAAACUUCUCCACAAUGUGUGUCUCGAAUGUCACACCAUACUCCAGACAUGGUGCUGCAGUACACACACAUAUUAAAUCCAGUAUUAUUUUAUGAAAAUUCAAUGUUGUUGGAUAAGAUUGGCUCCAGGAUUCAUCAUAUAGACACAUUUGUUUAAUAAAACACACAUUCAAUUCA
Pimephales promelas (fathead minnow) is the source of this 838-nucleotide non-coding RNA. NCBI's taxonomy places the organism in Eukaryota, Metazoa, Chordata, Actinopteri, Cypriniformes, Leuciscidae. The record is from RefSeq and is a predicted model, not a curated record.